AUUGAACGCUGGCGGCAGGCCUAACACAUGCAAGUCGAACGAGUGGCGGACGUGUGAGUAAUGUCUGGGAACCUGCCUGAUGGAGGGGGAUAACUACUGGAACCGGUAGCUACUCCCGCAUACCAUCACAUUUGCCCCGAUGGGAUUUGCGAUUUGUUGGGGUAACGGCUCACAAAGGCGACGAUCCCUAGCUGGUCUGAGAGGAUGACCAGCCACACUGGAACUGAGACACGGUCCAGACUCCUACGGGAGGCAGCAGUGGGGAAUAUUGCACAAUGGGCGCAAGCCUGAUGCAGCCAUGCCGCGUGUAUGAAGAAGGCCUUCGGGUUGUAAAGUACUUUCAGCGGGGAGGCGUUAACCGCAGAAGAAGCACCGGCUAACUCCGUGCCAGCAGCCGCGGUAAUAC
This 406-nucleotide ribosomal RNA is filed under the name uncultured bacterium. RNAcentral's name for it is "partial 16S ribosomal RNA". It matches the Rfam family "Bacterial small subunit ribosomal RNA", at positions 30 to 526 of the family's 1533-position model. The record is from RNAcentral.